GACGAACGCUGGCGGCGUGCUUAACACAUGCAAGUCGAACGGAAAGGCCCUGCUUUUGUGGGGUGCUCGAGUGGCGAACGGGUGAGUAACACGUGAGUAACCUGCCCUUGACUUUGGGAUAACUUCAGGAAACUGGGGCUAAUACAGGAUAGGAGCUCCUGCUGCAUGGUGGGGGUUGGAAAGUUUCGGCGGUUGGGGAUGGACUGGCGGGUUAUCAGCUUGUUGGUGGGGUAGUGGCGUACCAAGGCUUUGACGGGUAGCCGGCCUGGGAGGGGGACCAGCGACAUUGGGACUGAGGUACGGCCCAGACUGCUACGGGAGGCAGCAGGGGGGAAUAUGGCACAAUGGGCGGAAGCCUGAUGCAGCAGCGCCGCGUGCGGAAUGACGGCCUUCGGGUGGUAAACCGCUUUCGCCUGUGACGAAGCGUGAGUGACGGUAAUGGGUAAAGAAGCACCGGCUAACUACGUG
This 468-nucleotide ribosomal RNA is filed under the name uncultured bacterium. RNAcentral describes it as "partial 16S ribosomal RNA". It matches the Rfam family "Bacterial small subunit ribosomal RNA", at positions 28 to 507 of the family's 1533-position model. The record is from RNAcentral.